Molecule: unclassified non-coding RNA, 2534 nt
Filed under: Limulus polyphemus (Atlantic horseshoe crab)
Lineage: Eukaryota; Metazoa; Arthropoda; Merostomata; Xiphosura; Limulidae
Description: mediator of DNA damage checkpoint protein 1-like, transcript variant X2
Source: RNAcentral
UCCCUUUAGCUGUCAGUGAAAGAGAAGACCAAGUGGGGGUCAGAGACUCUCUUGCUAGUUUUAUUCUAUAUUCUAUAAGCAUAUCCCCUCAUCCCCCUGAUGUGUUAUAUAUAGUCGUAAUAUUAACUAAAAAACUGAGUACAAUAACUUCUGUUUGAAGUUGGGGGUGUUCAACGACACCAUUUUGAGUCUUGUUGGGUUCAGAUCUCGAUCGACAUGUGGCUCAGCAAGUCCUCAACGAUUGUAUUGUUAUUCCUAGUGGUGGUCCGUGCACAUAAUUCACGAUACAAGCGUCAAUCGUCUCAAGAGGGAGAAUUGUCGGACAGUAUUUCAAACCUGCAGCAUGCAGACUCUCACUAUCAGUUUCCCUUACCACCUCAGGCCAAACCACGUAACUUGCAAUUGUCACCUGGUGUCCAAAGUAAUGUGAAAGCUAAUGUCAAAACCAUAUCACAGAACAAAUACAAUCAACCACCACAUCAACUCAAUGAUCGACUACAAUAUCAACCUCCUAUCUAUCCUCAGCAGACCAGCACUCAAACUCACAUAAAAUUGCAAGCAUCACCACAACAACAUCAAUAUGCUCCUGAAUUUCAACCACAGCCAUACCAUUCAAACAACUACACUCAGGCUUUCAGUUUUAAGCAAGUAGGCAAAACACAAGGAGUCAGCACUAAUGAUCAAUCGACAAUUAUGCAUGUACCUAAGAAAACAUCUUCUAAGAGACAGCAUGAUACCAUUUCAACUUCCCACUCCACUGAAGUGGUCCUUCAUGAAAAAAUUGUAUCUAUGCAGCAACCUGUCCAAUCUGUGAUCCAGAAACUGCCAGCCUCGGAGAUUGAAUCGAACAAGGGUAUUACUGCUAAGGAUAAAGACAGCAACCAAGAUCAGUACUUAAUUUACUAUUAUUAUUAUGAUGAUGAUAAUAAGACCAACGUAAAUAAUCCAACUCUUAAUUUUGACGAUAUUUCCGAUCUUGAGGCAUAUGAUCAAAAACAAGAAAAUAACCAACCAGAAAAAAGUAACAGAAGAAUUAAUAGCCCACAAAACACCAACAAAGCUUUGAAGAACCAUAGCGGUUCCUCAACGCUGCAACCAGUAACCAUACUGUCUCAAGCCACUGGUCGGGUAGAAAUAAUUGAUGCAUCAGUAACAAGAGCCCCAAAAGCUGACAUGGCCAAUGUUUCUGAGGACUCACUUGUUUCUAACAUUUACCGAUAUGGAAACAAUGUUCCCAGGUUUCCAGCAACACCCAAUCUGGUAGACCAUCCAAUUAAAAAUCAACCAGAAAUAUCCAAUAGAGGAAUUCCAUAUGAUCGCAAAUCUUCCAGUGAUGUGAUACUUCAACCUGAUGGUGAUGUUAACUCUGGUGUUCCAAUAAGUACUCUAUCAUAUACACCAACUCUAUUGGCAAAUGUUGAACCAAGCAGUAAGAGGAAACUUGAAGACAUUAAUGAGAUAGUUGAAACUAAAACUGAGCCAGAAACUACAGAAACACCGACUACUACAACUACUGAACCUACAACUACAACUGAAGAACCCACCACGACAGAAAAACGUAGGCAACGAACAUUUGGUUUUCGUCAAAGAUCUGGUUUAAGAAAACGACGACCGGGAUCCUUGCGCCAAAGGCGACCAUCGUCAACAACAACAACUACUGAUUCUACAACAACCCAUGAAUCCUCAACUAAAAGGGUUAGAUCACGAUUUGGAAGUAGAUCUUUUCGUAGGAGUCACUUACGAUCUUCUUUUCGAAGAAAUCGUUUUGGUCAUUCCAAUGAUGAUGAUGAAGAAGACAAGGAAGAAGAUGAGGUGCAAAAAGAUGAAACAACAACUGAAUCUUCUCGUGGUAGGAAACGCCAACGAUAUAUAGGAUCUAGACGUUAUGGACGUAGAAGAACUUCAAGUCGUAUUUCCACAGAAAAUACUGAAGACACUUCUACCACAGAUGAGGUGGCGAAAAUAGAAACAACAACUGAAUCUUCUCGUGGUAGCAAACGCCGACGAUAUAGAGGAUCUAGACGUUACGGACGUAGAAGAACUUCAAGUCGUACUUCUACAGAAAAUACUGAAGAAUCUUCUACCACAGAAUCUUCUCGUUCUAGGCCUAGUAUCUUUAAUCGUAGAAAAACCCCAAGCAGGCCUCGUCUGCCAUUCAUUCGUGGUGGCCGUAAAAGAUUUGGACAUCAUGACGAGGAAGAGAAAGAAGAAGCUACUAGCUCAUCUUCAGCAACUGAAAAUACGUCUGAGACCACCAUUAGUAUCCCAGCUUCUACAGAAUUUGCAGAUGAAAAAUUCAACGAUAAAAUAGAUACUGUGGAAGAACAACAAACUACCACUACCGAAAAGAAUCGUUUUGCUGGACUUUUUAAACGUAGGAAAAGACCAACUUUAUUUGGAUAACGUUGAAGCUUCUCAAACAGAUCACUUCAAAAAAACUACAACACAAUAGUGAAAAUAUAUAAAAAAAGACUUACAUGUCUAUAUGAACCAGGCAUCUGGAGCUUCAUUUUUAUUAUGUUAAUGAUAGAGGU